UUGUUCGCGCUUAUGCUGUAGCCCGAGAAAACUAAUUUUGAAUCGCAUGAAAAGCCAUUGUUUUGAACGUCGUUUGUUUUCCAAUUUGUUUUUCCCCCACAACCGCCGCUAUUUUGUGUCUCCUAGUGCCGAAGUGAAUGAUUAAAGUGAAAACUGAUUGAAAACUAAUUUGUAUCCGUGAGAUAUAGAUUCUAUAUUUGGCGCCCAAACGGCAAUCGUCGAAGGAUAUUCCGCGCUCAAUAGACCCGCUCUAGAACUUUCACAGCGACACCCCACUUAGGCUUGUAGAAGAGCCGAAACUGGACCAAUUUUAGAUCGAAAAUCGAAAGAAAACACAACAAUCAAUCAACUCAACGCUACUCACCGACCUUUCUAGUCUUCUACAUACACUUUUACACGAAAAGAAACCCUUUUUGUAAGCGAAGCCCAUUUUUUGGAUAAGAAACAUAUCUCUGUAGCCCGCCCCGACCCUCAUCCCAACCCAAAUCCGACGAAGGGAUCUGCUAAGCCCCCCAUUUAUCCUGGACCCCGGAGAGUGCCUCGUGGCAAAUCGAAGAUCCAAAACGGCGCCACUUAAACCACAAGCCUACAAAAUUGGCCGAAUGUUAUGUUGUGGCUUCUGCUGUGGCAAUAUGUCGAAACGGGAUUACAAAGUGGCCACCACCGAUGGCAUCGAGCUGGAGCCGUUGGGCGGCGAAAAGAGCGACAAGGACAAGGACAAGGAUAAGGAGAAGCAGACUAAUGGUGUUACCUUCGGUGGCGAAUCAAGCGGCGGCCGCCAGACGCGAACCGGAGUGGCCGUCUGCUCCCAGCGGCGGGCCCUCCUUGUGGCCGGAAUCGUGCUCGGCUCGCUCCUGCUGACGGCCAUCAUCAUCGCCUACGCCGGACCGCAGAACGACUGCUCCUGCGGAUCGAAAACGGUGUCCGGAUACGAAUCGGAUGAAGAAAACAACACCACCCCCUUCAAUCCGAUUGCCACCAAUGGGGAGCCCUUCCCCUGGCUGGAAAAGAUGCUGCCCACCAGUGCGCGUCCCCUGCGCUACAUGGUCACCAUUCAUCCCAACCUGACGACCUUAGACGUGAAAGGUCAAGUUACCAUCGAUUUGCACGUGGAGAAGGAGACCAACUUCAUUGUGCUUCACAUCCAGGACCUCAAUGUCACCGAAAAGGCCAUUGUAACCCCCGGGCCCAAGGGCUAUGCCCUUAAGAUUGUCAAGGUGCUGGAGUUUCCGCCCCGUCAGCAGCUUUACAUCGAGGUGAAGGAGAAGUUGAAGAAGAAGUCCAAUUACACUCUCAACCUGCGCUGGUACUCCAAACUCAAUCCAGAGCCGGAGGGCUUCUACGUGGACCAGUAUGAGAGCUCCAACGGAGUGGAAAGAUUAUUGGCUGCCACUGUUUUCCGGCCGAACGGUGCGAGACGGGCUUUUCCCUGCUUCGAUGAGCCGCAUGUUCGAGCUCCAUUCCGUAUUUCCGUGUUCCGUGAUCGCUUCCACAUCGGACUGUCCAACUCCAUAGUGCACACCACCGAAGAUGUCGGCUUCUACAUGGGCACGGGACUGCUCCGCGACGACUUCAUUGAAACACCACCUCUGCCCGCCGACGCUGUGGCCUGGGUAGUGAGCGACUUCCAGCGCGAAUCCCUUCAGCCCUCCGCCGCCUACAUUCCGACGACAGCAGCCCCACCGGGCUCCGGCGUCGGGGGCAAAAAAUCCGCCCAGCUGAACAACUACACGCAGCUGAAAGGCAAGAACCCGCCGGUACGGAACAUCACUGCACUGACCCAUUCCCUGAAUGUGAACCUGACGCCGCGCCAGAACCUGAGCUCCAUUCAGGCCACCACGACGACAGCACUUCCAGUGAAUCUGAAUGGAAACGGAAAGCCCUCGAAUCUUACCUCGCUGUCCCAGUCAACGGGAUCCUCCAUAAAGCGAGCUCCUUCCUACACCUUCUAUGCGCCCAGAGAUCUGCUGGUUCGCUCCUCGUUUAUUCUGCACACAUCGCGGGAUGUUCUGGAGUAUCUGCAAACCUGGCUGGACAUAAGCUAUCCCCUGACGAAAGUGGACUUUGUGGCACUACCGUCGCUCGAUCGUAAUCUAAUAUCCUCGCUGGGCCUGGUGACCCUGAAGACGUCCUUCCUGACGGAUCCGCACUCGAUUACCUCGGAACAGUAUCAGUUCAGUGCCCUGCGCAUUGCCGAGGCUAUGGUGAGGCAGUUCUUUGGAGGAAUCACCUCCCGGAAAGUACUUAAGGACGUUUGGUUGUGGGAGGGGCUCAUCCAAUACCUGGGUAUUCAUGCCCUGGCCCCACUUCAGGACAGCUGGCCACUGCGGGAGAUGUACUUGCUGAAAAUGGCCACCGCGGCACUCGAUAUCGAUGCCAUUCAAGGAUGGGACAGCAUUAUGAACGGCACCAGUCACGAUGGCAACAACGAGGAGUUCUUCGUCCAGAAGACAGCCGCCAUAUUUUCCAUGCUGCACACGGCCAUUGGGGAAGAUCGUUUCCGUGGGUGCCUGGGCACUUUCCUCAAGGUGAAUCGUUUCAAAACCGCCGAACCCACUGAUCUUUGGACCAUUUGCACUAAGAAGGCCAACGGAUCAAAGAACAUCAAGGACAUGAUGACGUUGUGGACACAUCAACCGGGAUUCCCGCUUCUCACCGUCACCAAAAUGGGCAAUAGCAUUUCCAUCUCGCAGAGACCCUUCCGGCCGGCAGAGUUCCUGGCCAUUCAUGACGAUUCCUACGACGGCAACAAUUACAACAAGACGACGGUCAAUGCCACGGAAAUCCCCAGCACAGUGGCGCCCUCUUCCCAUGGCAACAAGCACAAGACGCCACCUCAUAUGAAGUGGAUAUUCCCGGUCACCUAUGUCACCGAUAUAAAUAAUGUCAGCGAAACCCUUUGGAUGCAGAAUGUUGAUGUAACCUUCAAUGUGGCGGAGAAUGUCAAGUGGAUCAAGGUGAAUGCCAUACAGAAUGGAUACUAUCGAGUGGUCUACAAUGAUGACAACUGGGCGAGUCUGAUUGAAGAGCUUUCCAACAAUCCCAAACGGUUUACCAGCGAGGAUCGCUUGGGCCUCUUGUCGGACGCCUUCACCUUAUGCCACGCCAACCUGCUGCCCUGCGAGAUCACCAUGAACAUGAUCCAGUACCUGCCCAGCGAAACGCACUACGGACCCAUGGCCCUGGCCUUGAGGCAUCUGGAGAAAUGGCGACGCAUCCUCAAGUAUUCCGAAUGCUUCCUCAUGCUUAGUGAGUUUAUAAAGAUAAAGAUAACCACCGUGAUGGAAAAGGUGGGCUGGUCGGACGAAGGCGAUGUGGCCAUCAGGCUGAUGCGUCCAGAGGUUCUGCUAGCCUCGGUCCUGUGGGAGGACAUCAACAGCAUAACCAAGGCCAAGGACAUGCUUAACCAGUACUUGUACUACAAUGGCUCCGCGAUUCCCCCCAAUCUUAGAGAGGUGGUCUACACUGGGUCUAUCCUGUCAGGGGAGUACAUAUACUGGCAGCAUUGCUGGGAGCGCUUUGUGAACCUGCAACGCACCUCGGAAACUUUCGUCGAACGGAUGCAGUUGCUCCGUGCGCUGGGCAGAACCAAGGAUGCCUGGCUGCAGAACCGCCUGCUCUCGCAUGUCACGAUGCUGCCCACAGAGGAGGUGGUGCAGGUGCUCAAGGCCAUUGCGGGCACGCCCACGGGCGGAGCCAUGGCCUGCCGCUUCCUGCAGGCCAAGUGGUUCGAGCUGGAGAAGCGCCUGGGACCGGGCACGAUAAGUUUCGCCAAGGUCAUAUCCGCCAUCACCCAAUACGGGGCCACCAAGUUCGACUACGAUGAGCUGAAGUCCUUGGUGCAUCGCUUUGGACGGGGUCACGGCAUGUCGGUCCUCAACAUGACCCUGAGCAGCGUGGCCUCAAACGUGGAGUGGGUGGCCAGGUCGCAGACCUCGCUCUACAAGUGGGUGGAGACCAACCUGCACAAACAUCGAUAAAGGCCAAGAAGGAUAAGCAGGGACGCGAGAGUCCUCUUCAAACUCAUUUGUAAUUAUGUUCCUCUCAGACACGAAUCUUAACAUAUCAUUGACAGUUCGAUUGAUCUCCUUGGUUCCCUCGUUUCGUAGGUCUCCUAUAAGUUUAGUAUUUUAAAAGAAAACCCCUCCCCCUCACUCGCACUGUAAAUUACAAAUUGCUAUGAUCAAGCAGCUCUUAUAUAUGUGUAUAUCUAUCCCGUGGUGGCGGGAGUCCUUUUCUAGCACAUAUAUAUGUGUAUAUCUACAACUGAACAUAAGGAUCUAUCUAUAUAUGUAUAUUGUAUAUGUAUGUAUAUUUUACAAACCAACAGAAACCCAAAAACCAAACAUAUUUAGAGCAAUGAAUAUAAUUGUAGAGUGUAAGCAAAGAACAAAGAACAAACAUAUUUUUUCAUAAAACACAAAAACCAAAACCCUAAAAACCAAAACUCCCAACUCCCAGAUAUACUAAAAUCGCUAAAGGAUUAACUGUAUAGCAUAUGUAUAUUAGAUUUCGGGUGUGUGUCCGUGUAUGUGCGCAUCGAAGUAUCACAGAAUUCUUCCUUUUGUCCAAAAAGCAUAGUCUACUUAUCGCAACAUAAUGCAUCCCUCUAUAACGAUCUAAGGAUACUGCCUGACCAACACCAAAACACAAGUGUGAAAAAUAUUUUAUGAUCUAUAUUAGCUUCCAGCAUAGUAUUACAAUUAUCAUUUUAAGAUUGUUUCCAUUUCGAUUUAGAUAAUAUUUAACUAGAUUCUCUCUACCGGAAGUCUAUAAAGGUGAGACGGCCUUCAAGGUCAAUCCCAAUCGAACUCAGUUGAAUAACAAGUUUCAGCAGAGACAUCAACUGAUGCCACAUAUUUAAAUAGCAAUUCAGGCACGCGAAAAAUGUAAAUCUCUAACGACUUUUAAAUUUAAAUACUUUAACGAUAUCACAUGGCUGCCAUAGGUACUAGUCUUUAUUGGCAGAGUGGUCUUAGGUCAGGUGGGAACGUAACUUAGGCACUCGGGAUACAAAAUACAAUAUAGUCAUACCCCCAAAUGUACAUACAUGGCAUACAUGCUGUAGUUCUGCUAGAAGUGAAAAAAAAAAACAAAACCAAAAAAAUAUUAGUCUAACACUUUUUAUUUCCGCACCUAAACUGGCAAUCAGUUUACUACAUUCCGUAACUACGAUUUAGGUUUUCGUUUAACAAUAAGUGGUUCGCUCUUGUGUUUACCAUAUCGCCGCUUAUCAUUUAAUUAGUGUUAGAGCGUCUGUCCUAAAGAUAGUCCAAGGUGUUUGGGUAAACUGAGGGAAGCCUCCGAAACCGAAGCCUGGGGGCACCUGGCACGCCGGUUUGAUAUUAUUUAGCCGGCCAUAUAAACGUGUUUGAGUUGUGCCAUGGGCGGCAGUCCCCCGAUAAGAGAGUGCCAGAUUACAAAAAGAUUAGCACUGGGAUGGGUCAGGGGCGUAGCGACAGUAGGAUUCGAGAGGGUUAUGGCAGAAGAGCUAUAUUCGUAGUAGAAACUAUAAGCAGGCACUCAGUGGGAAAGCCAAGAGUAGUAUUAGUAACCCCUUUCGAACUACGCCCAUUCAGAUUCCCCCUCGAUCUUCGAUUGGUUGUCGAGCCUUCAACUAUUUUUGGCUAUGCUAAUUUGUAGAUUUGUAUUUGCAUCGGACCACUAGAAAUCUUUGAUUUGGGCUUCUACAGAAAACGUGAUUUUGGAUGGAAACGGAUGGUUUGCUUGGCUUAGACACACUCAAGACUAACUCAAAGAUACUCUCAAAGAUACAUACUUGCAACAAUGUCAAUCGCUCAGAUACCCCAGUAUAUACAUAUACGUGACAACAAAAAUAUUUAGAGGCAGACAAAGAGACGGGAGGAGAUACAAAAAUAAAAUGUAACUUUAUUAGCAAACAAAGGUAGAUCACAGAGAAAAACACACAAAAACAAGUUUUGGAGCGAUUUUACCGGAUUUUCGAUAAAUGUAUAACCAUACAAGCAACUAAAAUGAAUAAAGAAAAUAAACCCCAAUAGGAAUAAUAAAAUCGAAACACAACAAAUAUAAACAAAAACAAAAUACUCCAAGCCCAGGAGCAGAACUUGGAUGGAUUACGAGAAGAUUUAGAAAGUUUUUACGGAUCAACUGAAACAGAAGACUUCGCCUAAGUUCGAACUUUACAUUAUUUCAAUACCCAUUUCCUUGUCCAGUAUAUUGUAUGGUAUAAUGCAUAUCCGUCCACAGCUUUGAUUGACUUAUCACGUUUGGGUUCCAUUAAGUUCAUUGAAUUCAUCUGACCAACCUUCAACCUUAAACCUUCAACCUCCAACCUUCAGCCCAACCAGCCCGAAAAGCCCCUUAGACCUGGAGUUGGAGAACGGCAAAUGGCCUUUUUCGUUAGAUACCCCGAUUGAAAAACGAAUUCUAGUUAAUUUUAUUAGAUGAAAAUUUAUUUGAAAUCGUUGUAAACCUAUGAUAAAUUAUUAGUUACGCAUUGGCUAUCAGUUUUAUAUAAAAUUGGCGUAGGGAAAAUACAAAGUGUAUCUAUGGUAGAAAUGCAAUGGAAAGCAGGCAGAGCAACUCUUAAGACGUAAUUCUAAUUGUAUGCUAAUGAUAUAUACACAUCUAUACAUAAAUAUAUAUUUACAUAAUGUAAUUUAAGUCAACUGGGAAUAUUAA
RNAcentral lists this unclassified non-coding RNA (6663 nucleotides) under Drosophila ananassae. Its description in RNAcentral is "GF18023". Lineage: Eukaryota; Metazoa; Arthropoda; Insecta; Diptera; Drosophilidae. The record is from RNAcentral.